CUAUUGACUCAUCUGCCCACAUGAAGAGGACGGCGGCUGGGUCUUUAAUUUGAAGGAGCAGAAAGACAUAUAUUACUGUAGAUUCUUCAUAGUUUGGUCAAUUUUUCUUGGAACUAGGAAUUGUUGAGCAUGUGAAACUACACAUUAUCUUGUGGGAAUCUGCAGAAUGUUAUUACAUUCAGGAGAAGGAUGCUGGUGCCCCAUCCACCCGACCCACAGAACCAACAACUCCAAUACCGAAAGUACGUGUGAGUGAUGUUGUUGCGUGUGUCUGACUCUCCUACCUUGGCCUGCUGUAACU
Molecule: long non-coding RNA, 301 nt
Filed under: Salmo salar (Atlantic salmon)
Lineage: Eukaryota; Metazoa; Chordata; Actinopteri; Salmoniformes; Salmonidae
Description: lncRNA (ENSSSAG00000095694.1, ENSSSAG00075065039.1)
Source: RNAcentral